Molecule: ribosomal RNA, 252 nt
Filed under: uncultured bacterium
Lineage: Bacteria
Description: partial 16S ribosomal RNA
Rfam family: Bacterial small subunit ribosomal RNA
Source: RNAcentral
UACGGAGGAUGCGAGCGUUAUCCGGAUUUAUUGGGUUUAAAGGGUGCGUAGGCGGACUGUCAAGUCAGCGGUAAAAUUGAGAGGCUCAACCUCUUCCCGCCGCUGAAACUGGUGGUCUUGAGUGGAUGAGAAGUACGCGGAAUGCGUGGUGUAGCGGUGAAAUGCAUAGAUAUCACGCAGAACUCCGAUUGCGAAGGCAGCGUACCGGCAUCCAACUGACGCUGAGGCACGAAAGCGUGGGGAGCAAACAGG